Non-coding RNA from Favolaschia claudopus, 92 nucleotides. NCBI's taxonomy places the organism in Eukaryota, Fungi, Basidiomycota, Agaricomycetes, Agaricales, Mycenaceae. The record is from the annotation of a GenBank genome assembly.
GGUCGAAUGGUGUAGUUGGUUAUCACUUCUGUCUAACAGUAGCACGUGACUCUGUUCACAGGCGGUCCUCAGUUCGAACCUGGGUUCGAUCA